This 622-nucleotide ribosomal RNA is filed under the name uncultured bacterium. RNAcentral describes it as "bacterial LSU rRNA". It matches the Rfam family "Bacterial large subunit ribosomal RNA", at positions 497 to 1119 of the family's 2925-position model. The record is from RNAcentral.
AGUACCGUGAGGNAAAGGCGAAAAGAACCCCGGAGAGGGGGAGUGAAAUAGAACCUGAAACCGUGUGCGUACAAGCAGUGGAAGCAGAGCAAUCUGUGACUGCGUACCUUUUUGUAUAAUGGGUCAGCGAGUUAAUAGCGUUGGCGAGCUUAACCGUGUAGGGGAGGCGAAGGGAAACCGAGUCCUAACAGGGCGAUAAGUCGGCGUUAUUAGACCCGAAGCCGGGCGAUCUAUCCAUGACCAGGGUGAAGGGACGGUAACACGUUCUGGAGGCCCGCACUCACUAAUGUUGAAAAAUUAGGAGAUGAGUUGUGGAUCGGAGUGAAAGGCUAAACAAGCUCGGAGAUAGCUGGUUCUCCUCGAAAGCUAUUUAGGUAGUGCCUUGUGGGUAAUUCGCGGGGGUAGAGCACUGUGCCGGCUAGGGGGACGUGAUAGUCCUACCAAACCGAUGCAAACUCCGAAUACCGCGAAGGUAAACCACAGGAGACACACGGCGGGUGAUAAGGUCCGUCGUGAAGAGGGAAACAGCCCAGACCGUCAGCUAAGGUCCCGAAGAGAUAGUUAAGUGGUAAACGAUGUNAGAAGGCAGAGACAGCCAGGAAGUUGGCUUAGAAGCAGCCAU